AUCCUGUCAAUUCUAUUAGUAAAAAUUGGUCUUUCUAGCCAAUAAUUAUAUUUGUUUUCUUAAUAGAGAUAUAGACAAAAUUUCACUUUAUGCUCUACAUGAAACAUGGUUUCUUAUACAUUUAUCAAGAUGCAUUGUUCCAAACUCCAUAAUUCCUUCAGUACUAAUGGAUCAUAGUGGACAUAUUCAAAAUACUUAACCAUUGUAUUAUGGCAACAAACAAAUCAGAACAUGCCAUUGAGCAUUCAGACUUGGUCACAAACAAUAGCUGCCUUGCACAUAUCUGCUAAAUUCAAUAUUUGGCAUAUAUCCUACCGAAGCUACUAGGAAUCACUGUCAUCUAAGAAAAGUUUCAUCUGACUCAUCUUUUAGUUUUGAUGUAAAAAUUAUCACAACAGGUCUUCAGCAUAGAAAACUGGAUCUUUAGUGGUAUGCUUCUUACUUAUGGCUUCAUAUCUUUAAAAACACCUGAUCUUAUGACAGAACCUCUAGAAAAAAUAGGUGAAAUAUCUUUAGAUAACUUUAUUUCUGUUGCUAUGAUAAACAACAUGACCAGAACCAACUUAGUGUGAAAACUAUUUAUCUAGCUUAUACUUUCUGACCACAGACCAUCAUUGAGGCAAGUCAAAGCAGAAUUCAAGCAGAAGCAGAGUGAGGAAUCAUAGAGGAGCUUUGCUUACUGGAUUACUACCUCUGAUUUGCUCAGCUUUCUUUCUUGCAGAGUCUGGGCCCACAUGCCUAGGGAUAGCACCACUCACAGUGGUCUGGGCCCUCCUAUAUCAAAUAGCAAUCAAGAAAAUGUCUCUCAGACAUGACAAUAGACCAAUCUGAUCAAGGGACUGCUUUAGUUGAAGUUUCUCUUUCCAGAUAUCCCUUAGUUUGUGUCAAGUUGACCACAGAAGCUAUCACAGUUACAGGCUAAAACGAAUCUACAUUGAAUUCCAUUGAAAAUCCCUUUCCUCUUGAAGUUGUCUCUCUCUAUGGGGUCAGUAUCAACGGAUUUCUCAUCAUACUCAUAUAUUUCUGUGACUUCUCUCUACUUUUCAUCUGUACUAUGUAUGUACUUCUAAGAUCUAUUUUUUUCUCUACUAGUGACCUCAUCCAAAAUAUACCAACAAAGUUGGUUUUUCUCCUGUUUCAUAUUUUCACAGGUGGAUAUCAAAACCAAAUCCUGCCAUUGAAAUUCCACAACAGUGUAGAAUUUUCUCCAUCUCUCACCAUCUCACAUCCAGUCCUGGUUUUGCAACCUUCAAUCAGUUAAUUACUUUACGUACAUUCAUUCAUUUAAUCUUCAGUGAGCACUACCACUGAGCUGCUAACUGAUGGCAAGGAAAAUAAGAACAGCUUGGUUUCUACCCUCAUGAAGAAAAAGAUUAAGGAUGAUGUCUAGAUUUUUUUGAAUUUUCAUCUUACAUGAAAAUUUGUGAAGUUUCAACUGGAAACAUAGGUGAUGCCAUUUUGUAAACUGUGUGGCAUACCAUUUUAUAAUAGUAUACAUGUUUAUCAUCUCCUUUCUUUAUAUGAUAGAUGAAAAGACCAUAUGUCAUCCAUCUAUACAAAAUGUCUUCCAGCUUGUCUAGGAUUGAGAGAUGUUCAUUAGUAAAAAGAGAAUUAAUGAAUGCUGAAGUGAAAAAUACCUAAAUAUGAUAAAUUAUCCCCUUUGAGAAAUAUGUUUAUAUUGAUACAUGUAUGAAUGUAUGUAGUUAUGUGUAUGUGUAAUGGCUAUUCUCAGUUGUCAAUUUGACUAUAUCUGGAAUGAAUUACAGUACAGAAAUGGAGAACAUACCUGUGAUCUGGAUCUUGAGACAGGAAGACACAGGUUUUGAUCCAGAUCUUGAGGUAGAUGAUAACAUGCUUUAAAUCCAGAUCUUGAGGCACACCUUUAAUCAAAGCCAUACCUUCUACUGGAGACCUAUAUUAGG
Molecule: long non-coding RNA, 1922 nt
Filed under: Mus musculus (house mouse)
Lineage: Eukaryota; Metazoa; Chordata; Mammalia; Rodentia; Muridae
Description: long non-coding RNA chr12:119911046-119912968
Source: RNAcentral